RNAcentral lists this ribosomal RNA (459 nucleotides) under uncultured bacterium. RNAcentral's name for it is "partial 16S ribosomal RNA". It matches the Rfam family "Bacterial small subunit ribosomal RNA", at positions 338 to 795 of the family's 1533-position model. The record is from RNAcentral.
CCUACGGGGGGCUGCAGUGGGGAAUAUUGCGCAAUGGGCGAAAGCCUGACGCAGCGACGCCGCGUGAGGGAUGAAGGUCUUCGGAUUGUAAACCUCUUUAGGCGAGGAGCAAUGCCGGGCACGCGUGCCCGGAGGGAGAGUACCCGCAGAAUAAGCAUCGGCUAACUCCGUGCCAGCAGCCGCGGUAAUACGGAGGAUGCGAGCGUUAUCCGGAUUUAUUGGGUUUAAAGGGUGCGUAGGCGGAUUUUUAAGUCAGCGGUAAAAUGUCCGGGCUCAACCCGGGCCGGCCGUUGAAACUGGGGAUCUUGAGUGGGCAAGAAGUAUGCGGAAUGCGUGGUGUAGCGGUGAAAUGCAUAGAUAUCACGCAGAACUCCGAUUGCGAAGGCAGCAUACCGGCGCCCGACUGACGCUGAGGCACGAAAGCGUGGGGAUCGAACAGGAUUAGAUACCCGAGUAGUC